Molecule: transfer RNA, 90 nt
Filed under: bacterium UBP9_UBA11836
Lineage: Bacteria
Also listed under: 1 other name
Description: tRNA-Ser
Rfam family: tRNA
About the family: Transfer RNA (tRNA) molecules are approximately 80 nucleotides in length.
Source: RNAcentral
GGAGAGCUGGCUGAGUGGCCGAAAGCAGCGGUCUUGAAAACCGCCGUGGCAGUAAUGUCACCGGGGGUUCGAAUCCCUCGCUCUCCGCCA